GAAAUGCGAUAAGUAAUGUGAAUUGCAGAAUUCAGUGAAUCAUCGAAUCUUUGAACGCACAUUGCGCCCGCCAGUAUUCUGGCGGGCAUGCCUGUUCGAGCGUCAUUACAACCCUCAGGCCCCCGGGCCUGGCGUUGGGGAUCGGCGGAAGCCCCCUGCGGGCACAACGCCGUCCCCCAAAUACAGUGGCGGUCCCGCCGCAGCUUCCAUUGCGUAGUAGCUAACACCUCGCAACUGGAGAGCGGCGCGGCCACGCCGUAAAACACCCAACUUCUGAAUGUUGACCUCGAAUCAGGUAGGAAUACCCGCUGAACGUAAGGA
Molecule: unclassified non-coding RNA, 321 nt
Filed under: plant metagenome
Description: partial contains 5.8S ribosomal RNA, internal transcribed spacer 2, and large subunit ribosomal RNA
Rfam family: 5.8S ribosomal RNA (bases 1-105)
Source: RNAcentral